GAGUAGCUGGGACUGCAGGCGCCCGCCACCAUGCCUGGCUAAUUUUUUGUAUGUUUAGUAGAGACGGGGUUUCACCGUGUUAGCCAGGAUGGUCUCUAUCUCCUGACCUUGUGAUCUGCCUGCCUCGGCCUCCCGAAGUGCCGGGAUUACAAGCGUGAGCCACCAUUCCCGGCCCAAAGAGGAGAAGAAGUAUGAAGUGCUUGCUUGGACCUUUCUACUGUGCUUAUUAUUCUGUCUUCUCCUCAUGGCAACUCUGCUCAGGCAACUCUUCCUCUGAGGAUCCUUCCAGUGACAAUUCAAGAAUUAGCGACUCAAUUCCCAGGGUCCCUUAGACCUUCGACCUGCUUGUGGGCAAUUUGGAAACAAGGAUUGUGCCUGAAUCACCUUUGCAUUCCUAGCAUCGUUUUUCCUGGAUAAUAAUUUGUUCAAUAUAUGUUCAAUAAUUGUUCAAUUAUUCAAUAACAAAUGUUCAAUAAAUGUGUGUUAAAUGAAUGACCACAGCUCCUAUAGCAGGUAGCUGACUUUGUGUCUCCUCAACCAAUCUCUGAGCUCUUUGAAACAAAGCCUAUUUUGUUUGAAUGUAAAUUUAUCAUCCCAGUUUCUGGUACAGGGUAGGGAACUAAUGCAUAUGUGGUGAAACAAUCAAUGCCUUAGUGCUUAUGAAGAAUAUCACUGUGUUACACAGAAGCAUGGAAUGACUAAUGUUAAGCUAAACUCAAGUUACUUAGGGAAUAUUAACUUGCAUUUAUUAUACUCUGGGGGAAAAACACAUAUAUGUGUAUAUAUGUAUAACAUAUGUAUGUAUACACAUAUCAGAAUUUGUAUAUGAGAAUGUCUGAUUACUAUCAAAAUACUAUGAUUAAGAAUUAAUUGCAAGACUUUGUAAUUAAAGGUGUCGACACCUCUUAUGUCUCCCUA
This 918-nucleotide long non-coding RNA is filed under the name Homo sapiens (human). RNAcentral's name for it is "HSALNT0392409". The record is from RNAcentral. Lineage: Eukaryota; Metazoa; Chordata; Mammalia; Primates; Hominidae.